RNAcentral lists this ribosomal RNA (373 nucleotides) under uncultured organism. RNAcentral describes it as "partial 16S ribosomal RNA". It matches the Rfam family "Bacterial small subunit ribosomal RNA", at positions 527 to 896 of the family's 1533-position model. The record is from RNAcentral.
GUAGGUGGCAAGCGUUGUCCGGAAUUAUUGGGCGUAAAGCGCGCGCAGGUGGUUCUUUAAGUCUGAUGUGAAAGCCCCCGGCUCAACCGGGGAGGGUCAUUGGAAACUGGGGAACUUGAGUGCAGGAGAGGAAAGUGGAAUUCCACGUGUAGCGGUGAAAUGCGUAGAUAUGUGGAGGAACACCAGUGGCGAAGGCGGCUUUCUGGCCUGUAACUGACACUGAGGCGCGAAAGCGUGGGGAGCAAACAGGGAUUAGAUACCCUGGUAGUCACGCCGUAAACGAUGAGUGCUAAGUGUUGGGGGGGUUUCCCGCCCCUCAGUGCUGCAGCUAACGCAUUAAGCACUCCGCCUGGGGAGUACGGUCGCAAGACUG